Molecule: long non-coding RNA, 3093 nt
Organism: Acipenser ruthenus (sterlet)
Lineage: Eukaryota; Metazoa; Chordata; Actinopteri; Acipenseriformes; Acipenseridae
Exons: 2
Source: RefSeq, a predicted model, not a curated record
CAAUUCCACUGCAUUGUGCAGGCGUCACCUUGGAUUCAUUCCUGUUCUGAAAUUAACAACACAAAAUAACAUGCAAACUGGUUUUAGGGCAGCAGGCACUGGGUAAAGCUGAACAUGCUAGUUAAAGGAGUGCUAACCAAUGCUGUAAAAUACAUUUUUUUAUUUGCUUUAUUAACGUUCUUACUGGUCUACAAGGAGCGAUCAGUACACUUUGUUCAUUGUUUAGAAAAAAGUACCAUUAAAAAUGAAAUGAUGUGUUUACCAUAACGUUUGCAUCUUUCAUAUAGUAAAAUGUGAAACCUAACUGACAGUAAUUAAUAAGAUUUACUGGAAUUAUUUUGUUAGCUCUUGUGGAUUAUACCACGCCUUGAUUUUACCAUUGCUAAAUAUCUUAAUUACCUCCUCCCUGAAAUAGACUAGACUUUUGAGUAAUAUCCUUAACCACAGUAAUGACAACCACUUCAACUUGACCUUUUAGACCAAAACGUGGGGGAGCUGAGGAUGCAACCCAAGGAUCACGUCAUCCUUCUGUGGACCAAUACCACAGAAACUACAAACCUCUUACAAAACUAUCAUUCAGAAAGAGGCCAGGGCUGGAUACAGACCCUAGAUUGCAUGCAAGUGAAACGGACCGCCACAACAUUGCUUGCAACAGCAAUUCUAUGUAACCCUUAGACAAGUUUAUCAUCGUGACGCUCCUAUGACUACUUUGAACUGGGAGGGAAGAUCAAGUCAUUAGUAUUGUUCCCAAACCAUUGACGAUCUGCAGCAUGUCAUCAGAAUGCACUGACAUCUCAUUGGAGACUGUAUGAAAUGGAUAGCUUCCUGAGAAGCACUAUCCGGUUAAGCACUAUCAGUUUGAGCAUGCAGUGUAAUAAAAUACGCUGGUAUCUCUGAACGAGUUCUCAUUUCCUUUGAUAAAGGAAUUCUUAUUCAUGUAUUUGUGUGCGUUGGUUCCAGUUACAUUACUCAUGCUUCAUGCUUCCCAUGGCUGCAUACGUAAUCCCUUAACACCCCUAAAAUGACCUUUUUUGGACAAAAGCUGCCAGUGGGGUCAAUACCAUUUAUCUAAAAACUAUCACUGUUACAGUAAUAGAAAAAAUAGACUGUUUAAAGUCAAGAAAGUUUAAGUACACAAAUGUAGAAUAUCAAGGGAACUUCUUUAAAGAGCCAUAUUUAGAUUCACUGCUGUUUAGAAUAUUGUAAUAACGUGUAAAUAACGUGUUGAAAAAGAGAACAAGCAGGCAAUCCUAACUAGACAAAAAAUAAAUACAACUCAAAACACUAGCAUUGUAGCCUUUUCAAUUUUGAAUCACAGGAAACUAUUUACAAACUACCUCAGUUAUCGUGUGUUUUUGCUUUACCAAGGGUGAACUGCACCAUGCUGGCUUGUUUGGGCCACUUCAACUUGCAGAAGUGUCUGACAAGUAGUAUUUCGUUUAUGUUUUAACCGUGAGUGUCCACCUGCACACGUAGCCAUUUUUGUGUAGCGGGAACCAGGAAUAUUCUUAUGACGUAAUAUGAACGAGAGAGACCAGGGUACGAUGGUACCCCGGGGUACCGUGUGGUGUCUCAUAUCUGUACAAUAUCCAGUAGACUAUGCUAUACUCAAUUUUAGGUAUAAGGUUAAGACACAACACACACACACACUAAAGUAUUAUUUAACCAUUUUAUUCCAUUGAUUGGCGUUUAGGUACCAAACGCUAUUUGAAUGCUGCAUUAAGCACUAUUGGCAUUAUUUUAAGAUAUGCGCAUGCGUCAGCGGUUCAUUGCAUUUUGUCUGUGUGAUUACUUACGCUAUUAUUAAUGUUUUUUUAAAAUGUGAACUCUCGAUAUUAUAAAUGAGAUGUGCUUUUAAAACAUCAAAACACAUCUCAAAAUAAUGCAAAAUUCUGCAUGACACCGUACCUAUUACUAUUAGGUGUGUCGUGAGUCAACAUUUACACACAGAGCAGCAAGAUUAAAUUCCGUGUUGGCUAGAAAGUCUGUGCGCAGUGAAGUAUAGAAUUUAAUCUUUAGGUUUUGAGGUGGCUGAUGAUGUUAUAGAAAAACAACAUAACAAGACUUUGUUUGUCUCCAUGGCUAUUGUGAAGCAAAGCACCACUAAGUUAAAGUAAGCUAUUGCUUUUCAUAUGUAAAUAUCUGUUAACAUCUGUAUAUGUAUGUUUGAUAUUGCAAUUGUGUUAUUAUAUUUCUGUGUUUUGCAAGAUCUCAAUAUUAUAGAUAUCAAAAUAUGUGCAUGAUAUCGACACACAAUUUUCAUAUCAUUGCCCACCCCUAUUUAAAAUGAUUCCAAUGUUAUGAAACUGUCUUGAAGCUAAUCAGAAAGUUGUUUCUUGCUAGUUUGAUGCUGUUUGUAUUACAAUAACAAUUGUGUUAUUAUAGUGCUAUUAUAAUAUAGUAAAAGAUUUGAAACGUUGUUUUAUUACUAAGCUGUUCAACUGUAUGUUUGUAAUAAGAAAACCAAUAUAAGGGGACCCGUUACAUUUGACUUGUCUUAAACUUGAAAUCAUAAUACAGGCAGGAAGCAAAUCCGUCCAGAUCUGCAAGUGUCUGGGUCUUCUUUGUCCUUUAACUGAUUCAGCUGCUGACUGGCCAUAAGCACUGCCAGGAAAGGAGCGCAAAUUUCUAAAAGCUAAUCUGUAUUAUUUUAGCUUACCCUUACAGUUCAGUUACUGGUUGGGUAUGUUUUAAAAUUCAAGAUACAUUUAUCUGAAACUCAAGAAACUUAAGAGGAAAAACUGAGGGGAAAUUGAACUUAUGGGUCUAUAUUUUUCACUAUGGGUACCUUGCAGGCAAAUUGCUCGUUCCAAAGUAAAUGUAUGAAGUGGGCAAUUUGUCCACAGUGGAAAUCAGGCCAUGGGGUUUUAUGCAACUGAACACAGCCUUGAACAAAGAAUACUUACACUAAACCAAAAACGGUCCCCAGACAUCUUGUGUGAAAUGUUACCCAGCUGUAUUUUAACAUCAGUUGCUAUGUUUCCAAAUGAUUUCAAAGCAGAUAAGAAUUGAAGAAAAUGAUCUAGUGUGGCUGCUUUAAUGUGUUUAGUGGCUACAGCAGCUGUGUUGAAAUUAAAAGAAAACACACUUCAA